UAUUAUUUUAACUGUUAAUUUAUUACUUGAGUAGUACUAGGUUAGAUCUUGAAACUCAAAGAAUUUGGCGGUAUUUUAGUCUUUUCAGAGGAAUCUGUCCAGUAAUUGAUAAUACACAUUUUAUGUUACUUAAUUUUGUAUACAGUUUGUAUAUCGUCGUCAGAAGAUUAUCUUUUUAGAGGUUUAAUUUUCUAGAUAUUAAUAAAAUAAGAUGACAGAUCAAGGUGCAGCUUAUAAUUAAGGUGAGAUGGAUUACAAUAUAUUUAUUUAUUACGAAUCUUUUAAUUAGAUUUAUAAGUGAAGGUGGAUUUGGGAGUAAUUUUAUUAAAUUAUAGUAUUUUGAUGUAAGCUCUAUAAUGUGUACAAAUCGCCCGUCGCUCUCAUGAUAAAUGAG
This 394-nucleotide ribosomal RNA is filed under the name Phylloptera quinquemaculata. RNAcentral describes it as "partial 12S ribosomal RNA". Lineage: Eukaryota; Metazoa; Arthropoda; Insecta; Orthoptera; Tettigoniidae. The record is from RNAcentral.